RNAcentral lists this ribosomal RNA (253 nucleotides) under uncultured bacterium. RNAcentral describes it as "partial 16S ribosomal RNA". It matches the Rfam family "Bacterial small subunit ribosomal RNA", at positions 524 to 776 of the family's 1533-position model. The record is from RNAcentral.
UACGUAGGGUGCGAGCGUUAAUCGGAAUUACUGGGCGUAAAGCGUGCGCAGGCGGCUAUUUAAGCUUGCUGUGAAAGCCCCGGGCUUAACCUGGGAACUGCAGUGAGGACUGGAUGGCUGGAGUGUGGCAGAGGGGGGUGGAAUUCCACGUGUAGCAGUGAAAUGCGUAGAGAUGUGGAGGAACACCGGUGGCGAAGGCGGGUCUCUGGGCCGAUACUGACGCUGAGGAGCGAAAGCGUGGGGAGCGAACAGG